ACUAACAUUCUGCAGUUUGAACACCAGAAAGUCCAACCACUGAACACUAAACACUAUCAGUCGGCAGUUGGAACGCAAGAAAGUACAAUCGCUGAACACUAAACUCUGUCAGUAUGCAGUUUGAUGUCUGCACAGCUAGGCUUAUAAGAGAUUGGCAUUUACUGCUGUUAUGGAAUUUUUCCUUUCAAGGAAGUCACUUAAAUUAUUUAUUGGCAAUAAUUUAGUUUAGGCGGAAAGUGUUCUCCCUGAUAAGUCUUUGCUGACUGCACGGGCUAAUCUGGGAUGAGACUUUGUGCACAUGCAUUAGAGCCCAUUAUCCCAGAGUAAGGCCCAAUUACAUGCAGUGUCUGUCACAGUGGAUUUACACAGACAAGCAUCCUGAAGAAACCGUGUAUAAUUCACAUGCAGUGUCUGUCACAUUGGAUUUACACAGACAAGCAUCCUGAAGAAACCGUGUAAUUCACAUGAAUGGACAGAAGAUGGCAGACUUCUACUUAAGAAGAAAAGUUUGUUUGCCCCUUUUGCCAGAAGGGGUUUAACCAGAAAACCCACAUUGCUGCCCAUGUUCGAACCCACACAGGGGAAAGACCGUUCAUAUGCAAGAUCUGUCGAAAAGGAUUUACACAGAAAAGUAACUUGACACGACACAGUGCAAUUCACAUGAACUUCCAAAUACUGAAAACAAACUGACACAAAUGGUAUCGGAAUGUAUGUGAAAUUGUGAGACAUUUCAUAUGCUCCAGUGUAUAUUUGCCUAGUUUGAGUAGUUUGUGAAGGAUCCAGUGACAAGAGUCUCGUACAUUUUAGAAAGCAACACUGACAAUGUUUGUUCAAUGAUGGAAUAAAUUGUCUGAUUCAAA
Dreissena polymorpha is the source of this 860-nucleotide long non-coding RNA. RefSeq lists it as uncharacterized. The transcript is spliced from 2 exons. The record is from RefSeq and is a predicted model, not a curated record. NCBI's taxonomy places the organism in Eukaryota, Metazoa, Mollusca, Bivalvia, Myida, Dreissenidae.